This 497-nucleotide ribosomal RNA is filed under the name uncultured bacterium. RNAcentral describes it as "partial 16S ribosomal RNA". It matches the Rfam family "Bacterial small subunit ribosomal RNA", at positions 28 to 507 of the family's 1533-position model. The record is from RNAcentral.
GACGGACGCUGGCGGCGUGCCUAAUACAUGCAAGUUGAGCGCUGAAGGUUGGUACUUGUACCAACUGGAUGAGCAGCGAACGGGUGAGUAACGCGUGGGGAAUCUGCCUUUGAGCGGGGGACAACAUUUGGAAACGAAUGCUAAUACCGCAUAAAAACUUUAAACACAAGUUUUAAGUUUGAAAGAUGCAAUUGCAUCACUCAAAGAUGAUCCCGCGCUGUAUUAGCUAGUUGGUGAGGUAAAGGCUCACCAAGGCGAUGAUACAUAGCCGACCUGAGAGGGGGAUCGGCCACAUUGGGACUGAGACACGGCCCAAACUCCUACGGGAGGCAGCAGUAGGGAAUCUUCGGCAAUGGACGAAAGUCUGACCGAGCAACGCCGCGUGAGGGAAGAAGGUUUUCGGAUCGUAAAACUCUGUUGGUAGAGAAGAACGUUGGUGAGAGUGGAAAGCUCAUCAAGUGACGGUAACUACCCAGAAAGGGACGGCUAACUACGUG